This 387-nucleotide ribosomal RNA is filed under the name uncultured bacterium. RNAcentral describes it as "bacterial SSU rRNA". It matches the Rfam family "Bacterial small subunit ribosomal RNA", at positions 28 to 409 of the family's 1533-position model. The record is from RNAcentral.
GACGAACGCUGGCGGCGUGCUUAACACAUGCAAGUGGAGCGACGAACCAGGGCUUGCCCUGGGGCAGAGCCGCGAACGGGCGAGUAACACGUGGGUAACGUGCCCCGAUGAUCGGGACAACCCGGGGAAACCCGGGCUAAUACCGAAUGUGCUCCCCUCACACCAGUGAGGGAUGGAAAGGAAGCUUCGGCCUCCGCAUCGGGAUCGGCCCGCGGCCCAUUAGCUUGUUGGUGAGGUAACGGCNCACCAAGGCUGCGAUGGGUAGCUGGUCUGAGAGGACGAUCAGCCACACUGGGACUGAGACACGGCCCAGACUCCUACGGGAGCAGCAGUGGGGAAUCUUGCGCAAUGCGCGAAAGCGUGACGCAGCAACGCCGCGUGGGGGAA